Non-coding RNA from Pelobates cultripes (western spadefoot toad), 241 nucleotides. The record is from the annotation of a GenBank genome assembly. NCBI's taxonomy places the organism in Eukaryota, Metazoa, Chordata, Amphibia, Anura, Pelobatidae.
UGUGUGUGUGUUUUGUAUAUAUAAUGUAAAAAUGUUUUAAGGUAAGCUUUCCCCCCUGGGCUUACCCAAUCUCUGUAGGGUCUUGGAAGCAGAAAUUUGGUAAUGUUCGUUGAAAUCCCAGAGGUAAGAGUAAGCCCUGUGAGGCAGCUGUUGGGGGAUUCUCCAGAGAAUCAGAGCUUUACUGCUGAAAGAAGAAAUUCAGGCCUCUCUCUCUCUGUCUUGCUUGCUUAGGAUUCAAAGG